Molecule: unclassified non-coding RNA, 343 nt
Filed under: soil metagenome
Description: partial contains 5.8S ribosomal RNA, internal transcribed spacer 2, and large subunit ribosomal RNA
Rfam family: 5.8S ribosomal RNA (bases 1-120)
Source: RNAcentral
GAUGAAGAACGUAGCGAAACGCGAUAAGUAAUGUGAAUUGCAGAAUCCAGUGAAUCAUCGAAUCUUUGAACGCACAUUGCGCCCGCCAGCAUUCUGGCGGGCAUGCCUGUUCGAGCGUCAUUUCAACCCUCGACCUCCCCUUGGGGAGGUCGGCGUUGGGGACCGGCAGCACACCGCCGGCCCUGAAAUGGAGUGGCGGCCCGUCCGCGGCGACCUCUGCGCAGUAAUACAGUUCGCACCGGGACCCCGACGCGGCCACGCCGUAAAACACCCAACUUCUGAACGUUGACCUCGAAUCAGGUAGGACUACCCGCUGAACUUAAGCAUAUCAAUAAGCGGAGGA